AUUGAACGCUGGCGGCAGGCCUAACACAUGCAAGUCGAGCGGAUGAAGGGAGCUUGCUCCUGGAUUCAGCGGCGGACGGGUGAGUAAUGCCUAGGAAUCUGCCUGGUAGUGGGGGAUAACGUCCGGAAACGGGCGCUAAUACCGCAUACGUCCUGAGGGAGAAAGUGGGGGAUCUUCGGACCUCACGCUAUCAGAUGAGCCUAGGUCGGAUUAGCUAGUUGGUGGGGUAAAGGCCUACCAAGGUGACGAUCCGUAACUGGUCUGAGAGGAUGAUCAGUCACACUGGAACUGAGACACGGUCCAGACUCCUACGGGAGGCAGCAGUGGGGAAUAUUGGACAAUGGGCGAAGGCCUGAUCCAGCCAUGCCGCGUGUGUGAAGAAGGUCUUCGGAUUGUAAAGCACUUUAAGUUGGGAGGAAGGGCAGUAAGUUAAUACCUUGCUGUUUUGACGUUACCAACAGAAUAAGCACCGGCUAACUUCGUG
RNAcentral lists this ribosomal RNA (484 nucleotides) under uncultured bacterium. RNAcentral's name for it is "partial 16S ribosomal RNA". It matches the Rfam family "Bacterial small subunit ribosomal RNA", at positions 30 to 507 of the family's 1533-position model. The record is from RNAcentral.